Molecule: long non-coding RNA, 1870 nt
Organism: Drosophila yakuba
Lineage: Eukaryota; Metazoa; Arthropoda; Insecta; Diptera; Drosophilidae
Exons: 2
Source: RefSeq, a predicted model, not a curated record
AGGAGCUGGAGGCCAGCGUCUUGGCCGCAUACUGGCAAUUGGACACCAGCUUGCGAUAGAUGCGGCACAAGGCAUCCAGCUCGUCCCUGAUAGGCUGUCCAACAGCUUGGGAUUCACCUUGCCGCUCAGCUCAUCCAUCCUCCGUUGCCGCUGUUGCCGUUUGUUCUGCAAAGCAGCCGCGGCGGCUUUCGACUGUUGGUUGCUCGAGUUGCGCUUGCCGCUGGCAAGGAACACGGAUACCGUUUUCAGUAUCGUUUUGUUCGCAUGUAGUGUGGAUCUGCCGACGCCAGUGGUGCCUCCAGUUGCUGUGGGUGCCGCUGCACCAACACCACCACUUCCACCACCACCACCACCACCACCACCAGUUGUUGCCCCGCCAUCCCGAUUGGGUGUCGGUGUUGGCGAACGACCCUUGCCAGCGCCUGCCUUUCCUGCAACCCAAAAAAAAAAAAAAAGAAAAAGAAAAAUAAAAAAGUUCUGCUUUACAUGGGUGCGUGCCUCUGUCUUUGUGCAACUUUGGCCUGCAACUUUAUGUGUCAAAGUCGACACGCUCACCCCCCCGCCCCCACUCUGCCAUCGAAAUAGACUCCUCCUCCUCCUUGGCAAGCUUAGCCAGAAAAGCCCUUCAAGUAUGUGAAUGUGAAUGUGGUUGUGGAUGGAUGUGGCACAGAGCAAACAAAAGGCCUGAAAUGCAAAUGCGCCUCGCCAGAACCAUUCAUGCCCCAUUCACGGGUAAUACCCAUCCAAAAAUGGGUAAAAAUGGGUAAUAGCGUUCACAUUCGGCCCAUAAAUUGUUUCAGCCGGCUAUUUCGAUUCGAAUACACUGAGAGAAACCAAAAUCAGGGCACCCAACUGCGCCCAUUGGUGUGGAAAUAGAAAGUGAUCAUAUAAGUUGAUAUAAAGAGUCACUAUUAUAAUAGGCACAAAAUCAGUUUCACUGGUUUGGCUUCAACAUAAAGCUAAGUAGAUGAUAUUUUUUUGAAAAGUGUACUCAUUUAGCUUUGUGCUCACUUUGAUUUCAAUCUACUCUGCCCCCAAACUCCCCACCUCCCCUCGCCGCUUCGUUUUGUUGUGUCGUGUCUCCUUUGAGAAAAAAUGUUAUUAUCUUGUGAUUACCCAUAUAAGUGAAGGAGCAGCAUAUGGGGGCCCGUCUGUCUAUGUCGAUGUCUAUCCAUCCAUCUGUCUGUUUAUGACCGCCUGCGCCCCAGACACUAUAAUUUUAUUAGCAUUUUCAUUUGCUGCAGUGGGGGACUGGGUUUUCUUUUUUUUGUUUUUUUUUUUGGGGAAUUUAAAUGGAAAUGGCUUCCCAACGGAGAAGCGUGUUGGUAUCGGGCCCUCGAUAACAGUCGCAGUAUGUCUAGACCCAUGUUCCCAUGUACGGCAUAUGGUUUCGUGUAAUUUGUUGAUAUCGGUUGCCCGGUUGCCACACCACCAAUCCAGCAUGGGGUCACCCAAACCCACACCCACAUCCACACCCACACUUGAGCGACCACCUCUGAAGGGGCAAAUAAAUCAAACAUCUUUGGACCUGGCAGUCCAUCAACGGAUUGCAAAAAAAAAGUGCAACAUAUACCCCCCAAUCACAUAUGACUGAGCACCUGGACGGGCAUAGUCCUUUUGGCCAACUCCUCGAAAUGCUUCAGUCGCGAUUGGCAAGCCAAACGAAGGGAUCUACUCCGGGAGCCCAUUGAAUAGUAUAUAGUAUAUCAGGAUGAGUUUUUGACUAAUUUUUAAAUCAUAAAAUUAAAAAAGAAGGUAGGAAUUAUAUGGUUUAUGUAUGGAUUAUGUUCCUUCAUUGGCAAUCAAUAUCAAAUGGUUGGUAUAUAUCAAAAAUUCACACUGUUCUUAAUGCAUUGAAUAAAUAAGCAUA